RNAcentral lists this unclassified non-coding RNA (390 nucleotides) under soil metagenome. RNAcentral's name for it is "partial contains 5.8S ribosomal RNA, internal transcribed spacer 2, and large subunit ribosomal RNA". The stretch from base 1 to 122 matches the Rfam family "5.8S ribosomal RNA", at positions 35 to 154 of the family's 154-position model. The record is from RNAcentral.
GAUGAAGAACGUAGCGAAAUGCGAUACUUGGUGUGAAUUGCAGAAUCCCGCGAAUCAUCGAGUUUUUGAACGCAAGUUGCGCCCGAAGCCAUUCGGCCGAGGGCACGUCUGCCUGGGUGUCACGCAUCGUUGCCCCCCCAAACUCCGGUUCGGGCGGGGCGGAAGUUGGCCUCCCGUGCGUGCCUGCGCGCGCGGUUAGCCCAAGAGCGAGUCCUCGGCGACGAGCGCCACGACAAUCGGUGGUUUUUUUACCCUCGUUCCUCGUCGUGCGUGUCCCGUCGCCCGAACGCGCUCUUGUGACCCUCACGCGUCGCCUCGGCGGCGCUCCCAACGCGACCCCAGGUCAGGCGGGACUACCCGCUGAGUUUAAGCAUAUCAAUAAGCGGAGGA